GGACCUGUAGCGCAGCCUGGAUAGCGCGGCAGCCUUCUAAGCUGUAGGUCGGGGGUUCAAAUCCCCUCAGGUCCG
RNAcentral lists this transfer RNA (75 nucleotides) under Candidatus Woesearchaeota archaeon. RNAcentral describes it as "tRNA-Arg". It matches the Rfam family "tRNA". Rfam says of the family: Transfer RNA (tRNA) molecules are approximately 80 nucleotides in length. Their secondary structure includes four short double-helical elements and three loops (D, anti-codon, and T loops). The record is from RNAcentral. Lineage: Archaea; Nanobdellati; Candidatus Woesearchaeota.